UUUUAAUAUUACAUUUAUCAUACCUUAGUUGAUUUGUUUUGUGUAGCAGUGUUUUUCUUGUAAGUAGCAAUUAGCCAGCGUCAGUUUUAAGUUUGUUCCUUCACUAAAAAAUAGUAGUCAUAUAGUAUGACUAAUGGAAUAGUAACAUUUUCCCAGAAGAAAAACAAAGAGAAGCCCAGGGUGGAUGGGGACGAAAGAUUUGACUGACAAUUUGGUUCUAAAAAAGGAAAGCUAUAUUUCAAUGAAGCUGGAGAAUAAACACAACUAGCUACAACUUUCUUGGCUUCCCUUUCUUUUGGCAUUUUAACUUUUGCGUUUUCUUUUGGGGAAAUUGGUUUGUUCUUUUUCUGGCUAUCUGUGAUAAAGUGCUAGUGAGAUAAGCAAGUUAGGAAUGGGAAAUAUUGAGAUAAGCAGGUUAGGAUUUAUGGCAAAUAUUUUACCCAUUAUACCUUCUUCCAUCUUUUUACCGAAUAAAAUGCAAUGCAAUUUCUUGGAUCUCCA
Molecule: long non-coding RNA, 501 nt
Organism: Lycium ferocissimum
Lineage: Eukaryota; Viridiplantae; Streptophyta; Magnoliopsida; Solanales; Solanaceae
Exons: 2
Source: RefSeq, a predicted model, not a curated record